This 515-nucleotide ribosomal RNA is filed under the name uncultured bacterium. Its description in RNAcentral is "partial 16S ribosomal RNA". It matches the Rfam family "Bacterial small subunit ribosomal RNA", at positions 28 to 523 of the family's 1533-position model. The record is from RNAcentral.
GAUGAACGCUGGCGGCGUGCCUAAUACAUGCAAGUCGGGCGAAUGGAUUAAGAGCUUGCUCUUAUGAAGUUAGCGGCGGACGGGUGAGUAACACGUGGGUAACCUGCCCAUAAGACUGGGAUAACUCCGGGAAACCGGGGCUAAUACCGGAUAACAUUUCGAACCGCAUGGUUCGAAAUUGAAAGGCGGCUUCGGCUGUCACUUAUGGAUGGACCCGCGUCGCAUUAGCUAGUUGGGGAGGUAACGGCUCACCAAGGCAACGAUGCGUAGCCGACCUGCGAGGGUGGUCGGCCACACUGGGACUGAGACACGGCCCAGACUCCUACGGGAGGCAGCAGUAGGGAAUCUUCCGCAAUGGACGAAAGUCUGACGGAGCAACGCCGCGUGAGUGAUGAAGGCUUUCGGGUCGUAAAACUCUGUUGUUAGGGAAGAACAAGUGCUAGUUGAAUAAGCUGGCACCUUGACGGUACCUAACCAGAAAGCCACGGCUAACUACGUGCCAGCAGCCGCGGUAA